UUCCUGUAUCUGAUUUUCAG
RNAcentral lists this microRNA (20 nucleotides) under Drosophila pseudoobscura. Its description in RNAcentral is "dps-miR-2565-3p". Lineage: Eukaryota; Metazoa; Arthropoda; Insecta; Diptera; Drosophilidae. The record is from miRBase by way of RNAcentral.